UAAUGAUAUAUUUUUCAGGUCUUGUUCAAGGAUGGGCUGCCAUAAUCAUGGGAAUUUUAUCUGGUAGUGUUCCAUGGUUUACCAUGAUGAUUGUUCACAAAAGAUGGACACUACUGCAAAAAAUUGAUGACACACUAGGAGUGUUUCACACUCAUGCUGUUGCUGGCCUUCUAGGGGGUGUUCUAACAGGCCUCUUUGCAGAACCUGAGCUAUGUGCUCUAUUUUUGCCGGUGACAAAGUCAAGGGGAGGUGUCUAUGGUGGUUCCGGUGGAAUCCAAAUACUCAAACAACUAGUUGGCGGUGCUUUCAUUAUUGGAUGGAACGUUGUCGUUACAUCAAUUAUCUGUGUAGUGAUAAACUUUGUGAUACCAUUGAGAAUGUCUGAGGAACAAUUGCUUAUUGGGGAUGAUGCUGUGCAUGGUGAGGAGGCUUAUGCAUUGUGGGGCGAUGGAGAAAAAUAUGAUGUAACCAAGCAUGGGGAUAUCACAGAACAUCACAUGGAAACGAGGACAUCAACUGGUGCUACUCAAGUGAUGUAGAGAAGGGGAUCCAGAAAUCAAAUUAAUUGUUUUUCGAUGAUUAAUUUGCUUCAAAAAUGUUUGAGGUAAAUUAAGACCAGGUACUUAAUGUAUUUCUUAUUCUUUAGACUUGUAUAAAGAAUUUAUAUUGAGACUUGUUUACAUUAAAUUUGUGUUCAUUCAAUUUUUUUUUUAUCACAAAGCCUAUUUUUAAUAUUUUUAACAAGGUUAUUAAACUCGGUUCGGCUUAGGACCUAAUCUGAGGUUUAAAUCAUGAGUCAAGGGGAUUAAUCUAGCUUAGAGCAACAUAAUUUUUUAUUUUUUUAAAGUCAAACGAGUUUUAACUGGGUCAAUCAGUUAAGGGGGUUACAAGUGGAUUAGAUCACACUUGUUAAAAUUAAAUCGAAUUAUGGUUUCAACAUAAACAUUUUAAAAGUAUAAUUCGACAUUCAUACAAUGCGUUUCAUUGUGAAAAAAAAAAACUUAAUGAAGAUCAGAUCAUGGGUUAACUUCCACCAAUUAUAAUUUAAAACUUAACCCAGAAUAGGGAUUUGAUAGGCGAGUAAAUUUGAUAGGCGAGUAAAUGAGUUGAUCUGUUGGUUAUAUCAUGUUUAAUAACAAUAAUAUGUCCUAUUUAAACACCAAAUUAAUUGAAAUCAAACUAUGGUUUCAACAUAAAAAAUUUAAAAAUAUAAUUAGAUAUUCGUACAUUGUGUUUCGUUGUGAUUAUGAUUAUAAAAAAAACAACUUAAUAAGAAUCAAAUCUCAAAUUACAAGAGGACUAGAUCACAUAAUUCAACUUCCACCCUUAUAAAUUCAGUAAAUUGAUUUAUUGGUUGUACCAAGACUAUUUAAGUACUAAAUUAAUUGAAAUCAAACUAUGGUUUCAAACAUAAACAUUUUAAAAGUAUAGUUUGACAUUUAUACAAUGCGUUUUAUAAUGAUGAAAAAACUUUAUGGAAGAUUAUACAUGUUAACUUUAUCUCAGUCUGGUCUGGUCUAGAGAUCUGAUAGGUGGGUCAACAAGUUGACUUGUUGAAUAAAUUGGUUUUAAUAACCAUGGUAUUUACUAUUUAAAUACCAAAUUAAAGAGGGAAAGGCCAAGAGGAAUACGUACGAGGUAAAUUUUGCAAAGUCUGAUACUAAUCUCUUAGCCUUAAAAACAUCGAAUGCAAACUUUUGCACUUAACCAGGGGAUAGUAACAAUGUUAUGAAACUUUUGUUGAAUAUUUUAGAAUUAUUAUAUUAUACUAUCAUAUAUCAAUAAUGCUUAAGAAUGUAGGUUGAGUGGUAAUUUCAAUAGAGUUUUUUCCCAGACUAACACAGUGGAAAAAAAAUCUCAAAUCAGCAUAGUAAUUAAUACGUGCAGUAAUAUAUGCGAAGUGUUUGUCUAUUUACUAGUUGUACAACUAUCGAAUUUUAUUUUUUUUCUCCUUCAAAUCCAUAUUUCCCAACAAUAAUAUUAGCGUAUAUUAGAUUGAUGGCCUGCAUGAUAUCACACAGCGGACUAAAAAAAAAUUUAAUCCAAAAAUAAUUUCAAACAAAAUUAUAUUAUUAAAGAAAUAAAAGAAACUCGAUAAGUAGGAAUUAAAUCUUUAUUAAUUUAAUAAUAUAAUAAAAAAAUAAGACGACAAUAAGAAAUACAUUAAAAAAUAUAUUGUCUUCGGUAAAGUUAAGCUAACACAUGAAACCCGCAACCUAAAAUAUGAGAUUGGAAUAACCAUAUAGAAAUAUGAUACCAUCCAAAAUCUAUUGUAAAAAAACCCCUUAAAGUCUAGCUCAUUCGCUCGCGUUAUGUCAUAUGUCAGAGUAAAUAUUUUUGUUUUUUAAAAUGCAAAAACAAAGUUUAGGUAUUGUUAAUGUGCUUCUUAGAAAAAAAAAAUUUAAGAUGAAUUUAAAUCAAUUGUAAAGUGAACAAUAUUUUUAUCUAAUAUUAAGACAGAAACAUAUUAGAUCUACCCAGGUUGAUAUGCAAAACUUGUGGGAAUAAUCUUGUAAAAAAUAAAUUGAAAAGCUAAAUCUUUAAUUAACUCAAUGUCCAAGGACAAAACUGGUAAAAAACAACACUCAAUUCUAAAAAUAUCAUGCGAAUUCAGGCGAACCAAUCAGACUUGCGAUGCAAGUCAACCACGCAUUUGGAUUUAGUAUUUUUUUUAUUCUAAAGAUUAUUUUUCAUUUAAUAGAUGUAUAUGACAAUAAAGUGUUUGUCAACCUUUUUCAUGAAAUAUGUUUUCUUUUUAAGGAAAACAAUCAUGAAGGGCGUGUAGGACUAAGAAAGCAAAGACAAAUCAUUGACGACAAAAGAUAAAAUUUUAUUUUUAAAAUUUUUAAUUUAAAUAAAAAAUAGGUUAUCAAUAAGAAAGGGAGGAAUUGUAUUUUUAAAUAUUAAGGGACAAAAAAAAUGCAUAAAAAAGAGAAAACAAUAAUAACCUAGAUGAUGUGGUUUAACCCAUCGAAGUUGUAAUUCAAGUCAUAGACUUUAAUUGGGUUCAAGAAUUUUGUUUUUUUAUAAAUUUGUAUCUAACCUAAAUAUAUUUUUUAAAAAAAAAGAGUUGAAAAGGAGAGCAUAGUAGUGCGACCUAAUGGCCCAACACCCUGGGGCUUUAAAAGAAAAGGCCUAGGCAUGUAGGCAUUCAAGCCUAGACUCAUUAUUUUUGUAUUUUAAAAAAAUAAAUGACUUGUUAUCUGCUUUUAUUUUCUUUUGAAAAAAAAUAGACAAAUGACACGUCACUCUAUGUUGCAAACGGUCUGUCAUCUGCCAACCCAGAUUUCACCCACCACUAUAGUGACUAGAAAAUCAGAGCUAGGUUAAAAAACUUGUUUUUCAACCCAUUUCAUCGAAAAAAAAUCUUACAAACACACUUAGAAUAUCACCAAUCUAUCAACCUAAUAAACCCAGAAAAUGAUCCAAACCACAAAUCAAACAGAAGAAAAUAUCACAUCCUCGAUUUAGAUAUGAUUUUCAGGCUUUAUGGAUGCUUAAAACAAUCACCAUAAUACUCUUACCAUCUAGUGGAACUCAUUGACACCAAUUUUAAUAAUUUAGGUGGUCAGAAAAAGGUGUCAACAAUAAACUCUCUCUACAUCGGAAUCCAGUGAGCUCUCUCUCUUCUAACAAAAAAAAAAGGUAAAAUAAAGUUAGAAAGAUCAUUAUUAAGUUAAAAAGAAUGAGAAUUGAUGAAAAUAAAAUUUGGUAACAAAUUUGAAUUUAGAAAAAUCUAAGGGACUGAUCAACUAUUAAGUUAAAAAAUAAGGGACUAAACUAAAUUUUUGAAUGAAAUUAGAAUAUAUCACCUGUUUCGCUUGUGUUUUUCACAUUAAUUCUUUAUUUAUCAAUUUCACCAUCUCAUAAAAAAAAAAUUGAUUGACUGUUAAUUUGGAUUAAAAAAGAUUCAAUUGUGUAAAAUAAAAAAUUAAGGAUCAAAAUAAAAAAAUUUAAAAAUUAUUAUUUCAAUUGAUAGUGAUUUAUCAUAAAAUAAACAGUAAAUAAAUAUACAAUAAAAUCACUAUUUCUCUUAAUAUUUUUUCAAUAUGUGAUAAAGUUUAUAUUCUACAUAGAAAACACAUUAUGCUUGGUAGAGGUUAAGAGGGUGCUAAAUUUUACAAGAGUAAACUUUUAUUUAUUUAUUUAUUAGCAGAUGAAUUAUUAAUAGGGGUAAUCAUUACCCCCAUAAAUUAGUGUUUUUUUAUAAGAUAAUCGUGACCCUCCAAGCAACGUUACUGUUUUUUUUUUAUCUCAAAAUAUACACCAAUUAAUUUUUAAUUUUCUCUCACAAAUUAUUACUAGUGUUAUUAUUAUUAUUAAUUUUUUCUAUUUCCACUAACUUUUAAUCCUUCAAUAUAUAAACACAUCAAGACAAGAUACAUUGCCUAUGGCUACUUAACAGAAAAGGACUAAAUUGAUACUUUUGGAAACUAUGGAUCAAACAUUAAGAAAUAUCAUAGGGAUUGAAGUGAUACUUUUGGAAACUAUGUAUUUUUUUAGUAAAUUUCUAGAUCAAUUAAUUUAUCUCAGUUUGUAAAUAUAUCAAUCUUUCAUUUUCAUUUUCAUUUUCAUUUUGGUAAAGAUUGUUAUUUGUCAUGGUUUUUUUUAAGUAUAUACAUGCUAAUUUUCUAUUUCUUUUUAUUUAUAGGAUGAAUUAAAACGAGGAGAUAUUUCCAAAUCAAUUCAAUGUUAUAUGCAUGAAGCGGAAGUAUCUGAAGAAAAAGCUCGUGAACAUAUAAAAAGUUUAAUUGGAAAUACAUGGAAGAAAAUAAAUGAUUAUCAAUUUGCUAAUCCCCGUAUCUCCCAAACUUUCAUUGGAAUUGCAAUGAACCUUACACGAAUGGCGCAAUGCAUGUAUCAAUAUGGAGAUGGACAUGGUGUUGGACAUCUCGAGACUAAGGAUAGGGUGAAAUCCUUACUUAUAAAGCCUUUAUAAUCUCAUCAAAAUAAAGGACUAGUUUGAUAUAAAAAAAUUCAUAAGAUUGAUCUAUAUGUUUUAUCAGACUAAGUUGAAGAAACAUGUAUUUUUAUUCUAGCUUAAAUAUCAAUAUGUAAUAAAGGACUAUAUAUUUCUCUUUUAUUUGGAAGAUUAGUCAAUUAUAGCUUGAUUAUAUACUAGAUAUCAAUAUGUAAUUAAGAUCUAAAUAUUACCUUGUUCUUUAUAUAAAUUUGUUCUAUUUGUCCAAGAAAAUUAUAAUUCUUUACAAGUAUUCUUAAUAUGAUAUUAGAUUAGAGAAUAUAUACUCGACAAAAACCCUAGAAUCACUUUAUGCAAACAAUUUUUUUUCUUCUUCAUUCCUACCAAUGGAACUCACUGACCCACAAGAAACCAUAUAAGACUUGACUAUUUUGAUUACCUAAAGUUUACACCAAACUCAUGAAUAUUUUGUUGUCUGGAUUGAUUGGUAUCAAUUAUGCCAUAUAGGCCUAAAUUGUUGAGAUGUAUAUCUUUGAUAAAGACAAACUAGGAUAUAUCAAUUGGAACUUUUUCAAAUAGAAUGAAUAGACCCUAAUAACAGAAAGUGGAGGAGUUAAAACUAUGAUAUCAAAGGCUAGCUAAUCAAUUUAAUGGAACCAAUUUUGAUUGGAAAUUUCAAUUGGUUUCCUAUGGCAAUAUCAGUAUAGGAUAUAAUGACAACAACAUAGUUGGAUGGAACAAAUACCUCUCAACUAUAUGAAGUGAAAAAAUAAAUGACCUAAUUAAAAUAAGAUGGUAGGAUCUGAAAGGCAUACUAUAAUAGUUCAAUAAGAUUAUGGAGGGAGAUUGAUUUUAGAAGACCUAGUCCUAUGAUUGGUGAUCAUGAUAUCAAAAAUUCAACUCAAUUUGGUAAAAGAACAUAAAUUAUACCUUUUUAAAUAGGCUAGAUGAUCAACCAGACAAAAUUAAAGCAGAUGUUAUUAAAAUGAAGUCACUUUUCAUGGUGGAACAACUAUUUUCCAUGGCAUGGAAGACUCUCAGUAAUCUGUGAUGCUCAGGAGUGUCUAUAGGGAGAUGAUGAUAUGGGAAAAAUUCAUCAAUCAGCCACUAUGACACCAGGACAACGAGAGGCAACUGAAACUAUUUUAUUUAGCCCUGAAAACAAUAGCAAUAUGUAAUUAAGGCUCAAAUGUUCUAUUUUAUUUAUAAGAUUAUUCAACUAUAGCUUGAUUCUAGCUUAGAUGUCAGUAUGUAAUUAAGGUUUACAUACUACCUUAUAUUCUAUAUAAAUAAAAUAAAAUAAAAAACUAAAACAAAAGGAUGAUUUACUAUAGCCUCCCUCAUAUUUUCUUAUUCGCCACCACAGUGCGGUGGCUUUUUUGUCAUUCACAAGAAAAAAAAAAUUUCCUUUAAACAAGGGGCAUUUUUAUCUUUGCAUACGAUUCAUUAGGUAUUAUAAAUUUUUUUUGGGGGUAUUUUAUCUAUUCAAUAUAUUUAUGAACAAUUAAAGAACCUAGGUGCCCCUAAGAUAAAAAAAAAAUAAAUAAAAAAGACUAAAAUUAUAGGGUAAGGGUAUUGGUGUCGUUUUCUUUUUAAGCAUACAGUGAGAUUAUAUAUAUAACCUUAGGGACAAAAAAAUUUAAGUCAUUAAAAUAGGAGUAUUGACAUCUUUUUCUCUCGUUUUUUUUUUAAUUAUUGGUUUGGUAGAGGGUAGUAACAUAAUUUAAUAUUUAAUUUAUAAUUUUAAAAUGUAAAGAGAUAUUAGGGUGUGGGAGACGUAACGUAUUUUGAACGGCACGUGUGGCAUCUUCUAGUGCUGGAAAAUGAGCUUUAAAAGUCUCAUUUGGCUCUCCUCCAUGUCCUUUUUUCUUUAUUGGUGGCACAUUUCUGCUAAAGGUGGUCAGUUUAUAAUCAUUGACCCUUUCUUUUUUUCCUUUCAUUUCUCUCUUCUAUCUCAAAAAAUUAACUCUUGUUCUUUUUUUGUGUUUCCAAUUCAUGCCCUUUUUUCUUUAUUGAUGGCACGUGUCUGCUAAAGGUGGUCAGUUUGUAACUAAUGGCCCUUUCUUUCUUUCUUUUUUCCCUUCAUUUCUCUCUUCUACCUCAGAAAAUUAACUCUUGUUCUUUUUUUGUAUUUCAAAUUCAGCCCUUUGAGUUUUAAUUGUUUUUCAUUUUUUCUUGUGUUAAAGUUUUAUUUAUUUUCAAUUUAAUUCUUCAAUUCUAAUUUGUAUAUAUAAUAUUUUCAAUCUGACCCUUCAACUCUUGAUUAUUUUUCCUUUGCUCUUUUAUCAAAGUUAUCAUAGCUUUCAAUUUUAUUUUUAAUAUCAAGUUUUUUAUUUUUGUUUUUCCAAUAGAAAUAAUACUAAUUUUGAUUUGGUCCUUUUUCUUUUAGUUUUUUAAUUUUUUACUUUUCUCAAAGUUUUUAUGGUCUUUAAUUAUAUCCUUCAAAUCAAGUUUAUGUUUUUUUUUCAAUAAUAAUAAUAAUGUUAGAUCAUUCUAAAUAUUAAAAUAAAAAAUCAACCAUUAUUGUUUUCCUUUAUUAAAAUAAAAAUUCAAUAAUCAAAUAAUUAGUUUUCAACCAUUCUAUUUUAUCCUUUUUUAUUGAUUAAUUGCCAUAACCAAAUCAAUUAGCAUGAUCAAUUUUGAGUAUGUCUCUCUCUCCCGUGAUAAAUUAUUAGAUAAACUAAAACUAUUAAUUACUUAUAGACUGAAGUGAUAGUUUACGUGUAUAUUUCAGCAUAAAUAUUUAUGAACGGUUUGAUAGAUACCUAGUAAUUUAUCCUCUCAAAAAUGUAUAUGAACUCUCCUAUGUACAAAUACUAAUAUAAAAACCCAAAACUCAUUAUGUCUAAUUAAUAGUUUCAAAACAUUAAAAAAAAAAUGCUAACUCUUAUUUAUUUAUCCUCUUAAGAGUAUGUCUCUCUAAGGAGUGUUUCUUAUUUAUUUUGACUCUUUUAAGAUGGUGGUUUUCAUAUAAUAUUAUAUUUACCCAAGUGAUUUUUAAAAGUAUAUCCUAAUUUUUUUGAGAAAUUAAAUGCUAAUUCUUUUACAAUUUCAUGAUCAAAUUUUAAAUUCAAAAACUUAUAAUGUUAGAUAAAACUAAGGAUAUUAUCAAAUAGAACUUAAAAUGUUAGAUAAAAUUAAGGAUAUUAUCAAAUAGAAUUAAAUAAUAAAAUUUAAAUUCAUUAUUAUUUGGUUAAUAAAACAUUAAUAUUUUAUUAAAAAAUUAUUUUAAUCUAAACAUGAAAGCAUAUAAACAUUAUACUAAAGAUAUUAUCAAUAGGCAUGCACAAUUGCAAGACGAUUGAUGCGGGGAAUUUGGAUAUUACCUAAUUUUCCUGGCUUCGUUGGAUUUAAAAAUUAACAGAAAUAUAAAUAUAAUUAAAAAUGAUAAAGUGAUGUGCCUGUUAUGUUCAACUGGAUGCAUCUAAUCACGUGAACUGCCCAUAGAUAACGGCAGCAUAAUCAAUUAAUUAUCAAUAAAUUAGAUAUGCCGGUAGGAUAAAUUGAUUUUUAAUUUAUUUAUUUAAGAUUUAAUUUUUGAUGAAAUAAUCUCAGGCUAUCUUUAAAUAAAUUAGAAAAUAAACUAAUAGACAAAAUAUUAAUGGUCUAUCUUCUAAAAAAAUAGUACUCCAAAAAUUCAAAUGUGUGUAAGAUUUCAACAUCAAAACCUUUAAAAAUUUCAAACUUUCACACACUCAUCUUAAUUUUUUUAAUUAAAUUAAUUAAAAAAUACAAACAAAUGAUGUUUAAUUCGUUAUUAAAAUAUUAUUUUCAUACUAGAAAAUUAUAUAAACCCAAAUUUUGAAUUGUUGAAUGAUAUUUCAAAAGGAUUUUAUAUUAUUUUUUAAUAAUUAUUUUCAAAGAUCAAAUAUAAAAAUAUUAUAAUCAUGAGGGGUGUAACUCAACCAAUCAGGCUAUAGGUUUGUUCUUUUGAGGUCAACAAUUCAAGUCCCACAAAUCUCAGGAUUACUAGAGGCUCACUCGGUAAUUAACUUCAGAACCCGUGAGUUUAGUCAAGGUAUGUAUAAAUGGGCCCAAAUAACAACAUUAAUAAAAAAAUAUAUAAAAAAAUAUUACCAAGUGCGUCAUUGGGCAUUGAAAUACACAAUUUAAUAUUAAAAAAACGAAAAGAAAGGAAAAAUCCUUUUAAGGUAGAAGGCCAUGCACGUACGAUGAGUGUGUAUGGAAUAUUAACUACAAUAAUAUAAAAAAAAUGAUAAUUGCACAUAUAAUUGAAGAUUCCUGGGAUAUAUAAUACUCAUAUGGAUCUCGAGAAAAGAUUCACGAGAUCCUCGCCCUCCAUUACUGCCCAGCUUGACAUUAUUUAGUACUACAGUGAUGGUCCUAUAAUAAUAAAGUUACCCAGCUUUAGGUUGACAGAAAAUUUAUUAUAAUAGUAGUAAACAUCUCAAGCUAGCCGUUUUUAGAAUCUUUCCAUGUAAUAUACAAAAUAAAAUAAAAGGUCUUAAUAUCUUAUUUUUUAUUUUUAUUUUUAUUUUUUUGCUUAGAUUAGAAGCAAAAGAUCCUUUUCCAUCGGGAUGGAUCUUUGUAUGCAUUAGUGUACUUAGUUAAUUAUUACAUGUUUGUUUUUAUAUUUUAAAAAUAUUUAAAAUAUUUUAUUUUUUAUUUCAAAUUUUUUUUAACUCCAAGGACAAAUAUAUAAUUUUAUUAUUAAAAAACUUAUGCUAAAUAAAAAAAACCCCUUGGUAAAUAGUUAUGUAUUUGGUUGAUUUUAAAGGUAAAAUAAUAUUUUACUAUGAAAAAAAAAAGCAUUAACCUCUGCUCAAGAAGUUUAAUUUUUUGUUUUUGGUUGUUUUUGAGUUUUAAAAAACAUAUCCGAUGUAUUUGGUUGUUUUUGAGUUUUAAAUAAAAUACAUUUUAAAAAAACAACUCUUAUUACACUCUCUGGUAUACCUCUACUCUAUGUAUACCGAUUUGUUACUAGUCUUUUGUCAGGAGGGAGGCAAGAAAUGCAUCAAUGAUAGCACUCUUCAUGUAAGCUGCGGCAAUUCCAAAAUCAAGGUGGUAGCAUUUUUCUCUCUCACAAAUGGAGAUUGACAGGUUUGGGUAUAUAUGUAUUUGUUUUAUUAUUAUUAUUAAUUGAGUGUUGUUUUUAUCUCGUGUAAUCACAUAUGUUCAUAGAGACCUUAGCCCACUCUACCCGCAUUAUAGUCAAUGCAUAGGAUACUUUCUAAGUGGUCUGAGUAAAAGUAUAUAUACCACAUUCCUAGAAGACAACAAAAAAAUCAACGAGACUAGAAUCUCUUUGUAGUGCAUUUGGGAAGGGGGUGAGUCGAGAGGAAGGAAAGGGAGAUAAUAAGAAUGGGAAAUAAUUAAUUAGUUCACUCUUUUGGAAAAACCUUUUAAUGGGAAGAGGGGGGAUUUCUUUAGGCUUCACUCCCCUUGUUUUUUCUUAUAUUAAAAUGUAUAAAAAUAUUUAAAAAUAUAUUUUAAAUAAUUAAAUAUAAAAUCAUGUUUCGAGCCUUACUCCGAUAAAUUAACGAAGAAGAAUACAAUAAUUAAAAAACUUUGGCCCAAGAUUUACAAUUAUAAACUUUCAUGAAUGUAAUCUAAUAAUAAAAUUUAUCAUUCUCAUCCUUUGACAAAUGAAAUAAAAUUUAUAACUGAAAGACUAUUUUCUUCCCACCGUGGAUGAGAAUAACGUAUUAAAAGACAAUAAAUUAGAAAGAUUAGAUUAAAAUCGGAUAAGAUUGUCGUAUUGAAUUUUAAUUUUAAUUUUUUUAUUAAAUAAAUAACUCUAACGUAAAAUAUAUCUCUCAAAGAGAUUUAUACUAAAAAAUCAACCUAAAGAAAGUAAAAAAACCUGAAAAUUAAUACUCUUAAAAGUCCAAAACAAACUAAAAAAAAUUAUUAAUCACAAUAUUCGAAGCAAUAUUUUUCCCAUAAGACUUUCCAUUAUAAAUUUAUGAAGCCCUUGCGUCCAUUUCCUUCUACAGAAAGGUCUUGCAUAUUGUAGGAAAAAAAACAGAGCUAGGCCAGUAGAAGGCGCAGUAGCUAGUCACAAUCCUCUAAAAUACCAUGGCUGCUCCUCCACCUAACCCAGUCCCAGUGGCAUACCAAGGAGGCUUAGCUGCUUCAGUUCCUGACUGGUUAAACAAGGGCGAUAACGCAUGGCAAAUGAUCUCAGCCACCCUUGUUGGACUCCAGAGUGUGCCAGGACUUGUAAUUCUCUAUGGAAGCAUUGUCAAGAAAAAAUGGGCAGUCAAUUCAGCUUUCAUGGCCUUUUACGCUUUCGCAGCUGUUGUAAUCUGCUGGGUGGUUUGGGCCUACAAAAUGUCUUUUGGGGAUAGGCUCUUCCCCUUUUGGGGCAAAGCAGGACCUGCCUUGGCCCAGAAGUUUCUAAUCAAGCAAGCUGCACUCCCUGAGACCACACAGUCCUACGAUAACGGUGGUGUGGAGACUGCAAUGGCUACACCAUUUUAUCCCAUGGCUUCCAUGGUUUGGUUUCAGUGCGUGUUUGCUGCAAUCACUCUUAUUCUUUUGGCUGGAUCAGUGCUUGGAAGAAUGAAUUUUAAGGCUUGGAUGGCUUUUGUGCCACUUUGGCUCACUUUCUCUUACACUGUUGGUGCCUUCAGCUUGUGGGGUGGUGGAUUCUUGUUUCACUGGGGUGUCAUGGACUAUUCUGGUGGUUAUGUUAUUCAUCUUUCUUCAGGGAUCGCCGGCUUGACUACUGCCUUUUGGGUCAGUCCUCCUCCUCCUUCUUCUUCUUCUUCUUCUUCUUUGCCUCUGAAUUACAAGUCUUUGUGAGCUUGACGCUUUGAAAUGCAACUAGCUGCAUAACUUUGACUACUAAUCAUCAUGAAAUUAAUUUCUGCUACACUGGAAGAUAUUGCAGAGACCUUGUCUUGGUACAGAAACAUUAUAAUUUGUAGUGAAUAUUUCUAUGGAUCUUCAGUCCUUUGAAUUAAUUAGUUGUUUUAGUGAUUAAUUUAAGCAAAUUUUACUUACUAACCUGUUUUAAUUCUUAAAAUUUAUUUAGGGGUUACAUUUUCAAAAUUUUGAGACCAUAUAUAGAUGCAUGCUAGUUUUCCCCUUGAAUAUAAAAAAAGCCUUUUCUCUUCAUUUUCAGUAUUGAAACAUGAGAAAAUAUCUCUAAUAGUAGUAUAGUACUGCCCUUCCAUGAUUUUCUUUUCUUUUCUUUUUUUCUUAAAUCAUAUUUGCAUAUAAAGAAAAAACUAGAUUUUAGUGGAAUUUUCAACCUUUCUAAAAAAUAUAAAUAACAAAUUAAUUUUUAUUUAGCUAAUUCAUAUAGCUCAAGAAAGAGCUAGCUCUCUCAUAAAUUAUUUCUUACCGAUAUUAAUUUAGUAUUAAGAUAGUAGUUAUUUUUAAAGUGUAAAUAACAUUUGUUUUUAUUUUUUAAAAUUUAUUUUUUACAUCAACACAUUAAAAUAUUUAUAAACAUAAAAAAUAUUAAUUUAAAAUUAAAAAAAAAAAAAAUUUUAGAAUCACCUUUAAAAUACAAUAACAAACCAACUCUUAAUUAGUUUUUACCCAUGACAAGAAAUGAAUCACUAGUAUAACAAAUAAUUUUAGAAUUGAUAUUUUUGUCAGAUUAUUGGAGCUGACUAAGAACAAGAACGUAAUAGUUUUGUUUUGUUCUUAAGAUUUCUUCCAUGACGUGAGGAGAGAAUCUUUCAAAAGAUUGGUGGUGAGAAAUUUCUCAAGUUAACUGAUGCAGGUAGGUCCAAGAUCAUCAAAGGAUAGAGAGAGAUUUCCACCGAACAAUGUACUGCUAAUGUUAGCAGGGGCAGGGCUGCUGUGGAUGGGAUGGGCUGGCUUCAACGGCGGAGAUCCAUACACUGCCAAUAUUGACUCUUCCAUGGCCGUUCUUAACACUAACAUUUGCGCAGCUACUAGCCUUCUUGUAUGGACCUGGCUAGAUGUCAUUUUCUUCAAGAAACCUUCUGUCAUCGGUGCUGUUCAGGGCAUGAUAACUGGCCUUGUUUGCAUUACUCCUGGUGCAGGUAAUUUCGACUUCCCUCGCCGUGUUAUGUUUGCUCUCGGUCCAAUCACCGUGCAUGUAUUUUGACUAUUGAGAUUUUUAUUGGUCUUGGAGCUAGAAUUAAGCAUUUAAUAAUCUUUUUCUUGAAAAAUCAAACUACCUAAAACAUUAAAUAGUGUGGUUGUUUUGCUGGAGUUCAAUCUACAAUAAAAUAUAUCUUCGCCUGCAGUAAAAUUAUCCUUGCAUCCUUUGGUCCAAAACAAUUAAGCUUCUUGGUGGGGGCAAUGAUACUUUUUUUUUCAUAAUAAAAAUAUUAUUUGGUCUCUAAAAUCAACAAAAUAUAAAAUUAUUUACUAAUAAUUUUCUUAACUUAGCAAAAGCUUCUUAACAAUAAAAUAUAUAUUUACCUCCGGGAUCAAAAAAAUAUUGUGUUGUUAGAUAAAAGUAUUUUGAGGUUUUCAAUUUUAAAUGUACAGUGAAAUUACAUCUUUAACUUUGAAAGAGACAAAACAUAAGCUUAGCAUUUAUGGGUAUUUUGUACUUCCACAUAUGUAUUUUGUGUAAUUGUCGAGGUCGUGGGGGCAUUUCAGUAUUUUCAUAAUUUUUUCAAAUUUUGUAAUGCUUAAAGCUGCUGGAGCGUGCUCGACAUGUUCUGGCGCGUGGGUGGCAUCCACACCAUUCAGGCGGUGCGUGUAACGCUACCCAGUGGACAUAACUGACCUUUUAUCAUCUCUCUAAAUGCGUCAUCAUAUUCUUUUCCAUUUGGAGUGGUGUGUGGUAGCUUACGAUGGUCGAAUUGUCACUAAUGAUCGUUUGAUUUUUCUCUCUCUCUUGGCAUGUAAAGUACUUCAUUGUCCUUUUUUUCUUACUUUUUAAUUUCAGCCUUCAUUCUAUUAAUUUCUUAUUUCAUUCCUUUUUCAUUUAUAGAAGUUUAUAUUCUUUUUAAUUUAGUCUUUUAAUUGCAAUUUCUCAUAUGUUCUGUUUUUUAUUCCAGUCCUCAUUUUUUUUUUAAUUUCUAAUUGUGUCAUUAACACUUUUGUUGAAGUUCUUUUUCAUUCAAUUUCAUUAUUCAAUCAAAUUUUUUAUUGUUUUAAUUUUUUCAGUUUGACUCUUAUUCUUUUUAUUUUUUUAUUUUAUUAAAGCUAUUUUUCAAUUCAAUUAAACCCUCCAAUUGAAAAUUUUUAUCCCUCUAAUUAAUGUUUUUUCUUACCCUUAUUUUUUUAAUCCUUUUGUAUAAUUAUUUUUUUCAUGAUUUCAUUUUUCAACAUUUAAUUUGUUGGGAAUUUAGCUUUAUAUGAUCUUAUUGUUCAAUAUUAGUUUUUUUUUUAAUAUUAGUUAUGUAAUUAUCUUCAAGUUUUUUCUAUGGGUUUAUCCGGAUCUAAUGAUCUAGGUCAUGAUUUUUACAUGUCUUUUUUAAUAUAAGUUUUUUUAGGUGUUUUGUUUCUAUUUCAUUUUUCAAAAUAUUAUUCUAAUUCAUCUAUAAUUUUUUUUACAGAUGAAGUUUAUUUUUUAAAAUAAAAAAUAUUCGUUUUUAAAUUGUAUUGCUAAUGUGUUUGCCUUGCAUAAUAUUUUUUAUAUCGUAGGUUUAUUCAGUCAAUUUCAUUUGUAUUUAUCUUUUUAUUCAUGAAUUUUUUAGAGUGUGGAUUUAUCUUUAGUUAUUUAAAUAAAUAAGUUCAGUAAAUACAAUUAAAUGCAUGUCUCAUAGAAUAUCUUGAUCUUGCUUACUUAGACUUUUUAAUUUACACUUUAAAUUUUUUUAUAUAAAAAAACACAUUAAAACAACUUGUAUACCUAAUAUUUUUUUUAAAAAAAAAGUAUAACCCACAACAAAGCGUGUGUUAAAUGAGUAGUUCUCACUAACUAGUAUCAGUUGACUUUUCCAUCUCUGUUCCUAAUUGCCAUAGCAAACUUGUUCAUAAAUUAUUUAACUUAAAGAAUUAUUUCAUAAGUUCUAAUUUGUUCGUUCAUAACUUUCAUUCAUUGGCAUUGGAAGGAAACAUGAAAAAGGAAGAGCUAGCUCAAGGAUUAAUUUAGUUCAAUAGACUUUAAAAAUAAAAGAUUAGGGAGGGAAUACUGUUCACGUGGGAUCCAACCAUGUAGAACGAUAUUUUGGUAAAGAAAGUUGAAGAAAAAAUUAAUCAUUUUCCUAAAGCUUAGAUUUCAAUAUAAAUUUGAUGAGGUACAACAUAUAUAGGAUAAUCCAACUUAUCAAAAGUUGAAGACAAAGCUACUAAAAUUGCAUUUCUUCGGGGCUUGUUUGUUAUUGUGAUUUUUUUCAUAGUAUUUUUUACUUAAAAAUAUAUUAAAAUAAUGUUUUUAUUUUUUAAAAUUCAUUUUGAUUUUUGAUAUAAAUAUAUCAAAAUGAUCUAAAAACACUAAAAAAUAUUAAUUUUAAAUUAAAAAAAUAUUUUUUUUCAAAAACAUUUUAAUUUAAAACACAAAAAUAAAUAGGUUUUGUAUAUUAGAUUUGAAGAUGAAAAUAUCAUCUUUUGGAGAUAGAUGAUAUUUGAAGUUUAAAAGUUUCUUAAAUAUUUUUUAUGUAGACUACUUUUAAAAAAUAUUUAUUAAUUAAAAAUAUAUCAAAAUAAUAAUUUUUAUAUUUUAUUUUUAUUUUUAACAAUAACAUAUCAAAAUAAUCAAAAAAUUAUUUAAAAAAUUAAUUUAAUAUUAUUUUAAAUAAAACAUUAUUUUAAAAAGUAAAUACUACCAUAGAGUGCCAAGGAAAGUGAAAGAUAUAUUAAGUACCAUGUAGCUUAGUCAAGAGGUUUAGGAGCUUAUAGAGAUCACAUAACUCAUUUGUUCCAAUCAUAAAAAAUUAAUUUAAUAUGAUUAUUGAUGAUAUUGCUAUAAAUUUGCACCUGACUAACCAUUUCAAAGUAUUGUUUCACCUUAAACUCAAUGAAAUUAUGGUGCUUGAAGCUUACAAACUUUCUAAAUCUUUUCCUUUCAAUCCAUAUAAGAUAUUAAACAUCUCCGUGGUGUUGGGAAUACCGAAGCUUCGAUGCCACUUUAUUAGUAACUUCAAAGUUCUAAUACCAUAGACAAUCCUAUUGAUUUUUGCCCAGAAACUAAGCACAAAAAAUUUAAUAUGUUCAGUAAUUUGCUUAUAUCCAUGAAAUAGACAGUAUUAAUGAACAGGAGAAACACCACAAUUUACAAUAAUAAUGGAGGACAAAGACCAAACCUCAUACCCACACUCUCUUGCAAGUGUCUCGUCUUUCUCUAUCACCCACAUUUUACCAGCCUACACAAGCUGCUGCUCAUUACAGCUCGUGUCGCUGCCACAAUGGCAGAACCUCUCUCUCUCUCUCUCUCUCUGUUUGGCUCUCGUUGAUACGUAUGCUUCUGCUCUCAACACAACCUUUUAUAGGCUUUUCAAAUGGCAGCUAGAAUUCAACAAAGGUAGGCUGUAUUAUUUCUUCAUUAAUGCGCCGAAUCGUGGUGAGCUCCAACUCACUCUUCAACUUUUAGUGGCCAUAAUUAUUGCCACGUUUUUGCCCAUUUCUUUUGUCAAAGUUAGGUAACAUUCAGUGCAUAAUUCUUCUUUUAGUCAAAAUAUGCAGCUCCCUCUUAAGACUGGGAUCGUUUGCAAACAGGGCCUAAAUGCUAUUCGGCAAAAUUUUGAAUUUUUUAUUUAAAACCCACCAAAUUUAAGAUGGAUGAAAAGUUUAUAAACUGGGCCAAGUUAGGCUAAAUUUUCAAUGACUGUGCUAUAUCUUGAUCUGAAAUCCAUCGGCCUCAAAACUGAGGCCUUCAUCAUAGGGGCUUGAUACUGAAGUUCAAAUUAGAAAUGGUAUUCUUUUCUUAGACGUUUUGCUACGGAUUUUUGUAGCACUAAAAUCCUAUGUUGUAAAACUACAAUCCGCCUGCCAGUUAGAUUUGAGACAUGGUAGAUUUGGAGUUUUAAUUGAUUUGAAUUGGAAAAAAAAAAGAGUAUGGAAAAAAUUACUGGUUAUUCGUAAAAUAAGGUUGAUUUGGAGUUUCUAUAAUGAUAUAUUUUUCAGGUCUUGUUCAAGGAUGGGCUGCCAUAAUCAUGGGAAUUUUAUCUGGUAGUGUUCCAUGGUUUACCAUGAUGAUUGUUCACAAAAGAUGGACACUACUGCAAAAAAUUGAUGACACACUAGGAGUGUUUCACACCCAUGCUGUUGCUGGCCUUCUAGGGGGUGUUCUAACAGGCCUCUUUGCAGAACCUGAGCUCUGUGCACUAUUUUUGCCGGUGACAAACUCAAGGGGCGGUGUCUAUGGUGGUUCCGGUGGAAUCCAAAUACUCAAACAACUAGUUGGCGGUGCUUUCAUUAUUGGAUGGAACGUUGUCGUUACAUCAAUUAUUUGUGUAGUG
Molecule: long non-coding RNA, 17223 nt
Filed under: Populus trichocarpa (black cottonwood)
Lineage: Eukaryota; Viridiplantae; Streptophyta; Magnoliopsida; Malpighiales; Salicaceae
Description: long non-coding RNA (PTRI_LNC004117)
Source: RNAcentral